Long non-coding RNA from Myotis daubentonii (Daubenton's bat), 1660 nucleotides. RefSeq lists it as uncharacterized. The record is from RefSeq and is a predicted model, not a curated record. NCBI's taxonomy places the organism in Eukaryota, Metazoa, Chordata, Mammalia, Chiroptera, Vespertilionidae.
AAAGUACUUCAGACAUUUUUAAAUCACCAUACACAUUCAGGUUGCUAUUAUUACAGUCAGCAACGAUAUGGGAGAUAAUAGUGAUGGCUGAGCAUUUGCAGUGAAUAAUUUAGUGGACAUACCUUACUGUUUUACUUUUUUAAGAGCUUUUUCUAUUGAUUUUUUUAAAAAACAGAGAAGAAGGGAGAGGGAGAUAGAGAAAUAUUGAUGUGAAAGCAAAACAUUGAUCUGCUACCUCCUGCAUGCCCCCUACCAGGAAUUGAGCCUGUAACCUGAGUAUGUGCCCUGAUUGGGAAAUGAACUGGCAACAUUUCGGUGCAAGGGACAAUACCCAACCGAGCCACACCAGCCAGGGCUGUUAUACUUUUUUAAAAAUGAAAUGCUGAUCAUUUGAUAUGUGAUACUGACCACACUGGGAUCACUUGUGCAGUCAACUUUGUAGAGGAGAUGAUGUCCUACUUCCUACAGUGAACAUAAGCCAACAGAAGUUCUUGAAUUCUACUUUGGAUCAUUGAGGAAUCUUCUUGAUAACAGAAAUGUGGGGAGAAAGAAAGUGUUUAAUCAAGCACAAACUGAAUUAAAAUCUCAGUCUUACCAUCUACUUGUUCUAUGAUAUUGGCCUGAAAGCUUUCAGUUCUUCUUCAGCAAAUGAAGCCUUGACCUCUGUAACAAAGAAUUUGGUUUCCGCCAUCCAGCCAAUCUGAAAAUGACUUGUCAACCUAGUACAUGAUCCACAGUCUUAGUUCAUGAAUCCUUUGUGAUGACGACAGAUCCUUAUGUUUGUACUUGUUUUAGUUUAGGUUCCCCCCCCCCCCCGAAGUUGCUUCUCUAUUUUUAAGCACAUAAAAUGUAUUUCAACACUUAACAACACAAGAAGUAUAAUCAAGAGCUGCAAAAAGUUCCAGCUAAAUUUCUCGUUUGAAGUGAUAACCAAGCAUUGCUACACAGGGCUGACUGCAUGGUAGCUUAAUGGUAUGUUGUAAAACCCUUUUCACCAUUAAACAGGAAAGUAAACCUGCCAAAUUACUUUAAAAUACAAAAUUAAUUUCCUUCCACUGUCUCAUUGCCAAAGUCAUUUCAUCCAAUGUUGAAGAUUUAUAAGUUGAAUAUCUUCCUAAAUAUUGAAAGUUAAAUGCUGUGUUCCUAACUGAACCUCAAGUUUUUAUUUCUACAUGAAGAAAAAAAAAAAGAACAAAUAUAGUACUUCUUCAAGUGAUCUCAAUUGUUCAAUAUGUAAGUAAGGUUCUUGGUGAUAUUUUAAGUUCAUUAUUAUUAACCUGGCAGAAACACAGUUUCAUAAUCGAGUACAAUUUUAAUAAAAUCAAACAUUACUACAAUAUUGUAAGUGCCUCAUCUUGACUUUCUUCUAAUCUAUCCAAAUUCAGUGUUUCUGGUAGAACCACUUGAGUUCACAUUAGAUUUAUUUCACACUAUAAAAGCACAAUUCAUUAAACAGACUAGUCUAUUUAAAACAAAGGCAAUUUUAUCACAGUCAAUUCAAUUAUUUAACACCGCUUUUUUAACUCACUACUUAAAGUUUUCUUUUGACAAAUAUUUCUUUAAAUAAAUGAGUUGUAAUUUAAAGAAAAAAAGAUCAAGUGACACUAUAUGCAAUUAGCCUAUAGGAAGAUGUUUUUCUUUUAAUAUAAUCUAUUUUUUU